UACAGAGGUCUCAAGCGUUGUCCGGAAUCACUGGGCGUAAAGGGCGCGUAGGCGGCGCGGGAAGUCCGUGGUGAAAGCCCGAGGCUCAACUUCGGGUCGGCCAUGGAUACUCCUGGGCUCGAGCACUGUAGAGGCAGGUGGAAUUCCGGGUGUAGCGGUGGAAUGCGUAGAGAUCCGGAAGAACACCGGUGGCGAAGGCGGCCUGCUGGGCAGUAGCUGACGCUGAGGCGCGACAGCGUGGGGAGCAAACAGG
RNAcentral lists this ribosomal RNA (253 nucleotides) under uncultured bacterium. Its description in RNAcentral is "partial 16S ribosomal RNA". It matches the Rfam family "Bacterial small subunit ribosomal RNA", at positions 524 to 776 of the family's 1533-position model. The record is from RNAcentral.